CCUACGGGGGGCUGCAGUCGAGAAUCUUCGGCAAUGGGGGAAACCCUGACCGAGCGACGCCGCGUGCGGGAUGAAGGCCCUUGGGUUGUAAACCGCUGUCGUAAGGGAACAAAUCCAUGGGGGUACUCCCCUGUGGUUGAGUGAUCUUAGGAGGAAGGACGGGCUAAGUUCGUGCCAGCAGCCGCGGUAAGACGAACCGUCCGAACCAUAUUCGGUAUCACUGGGGUAGACGAGUUCGCAGGUGGCCCGAGAAAUCCCUCGGCUCAACCGAGGAACUGCGCUUGAAACCGUCAGGCUUGAGGGAGAUAGAGGUGAGCGGAACAGAUGGUGGAGCGGUGAAAUGCGUUGAUAUCAUCUGGAACACCGGUGGCGAAAGCGGCUCACUGGAUCUUUUCUGACGCUGAGGAACGAAAGCUAGGGUAGCGAACGGGAUUAGAUACCCGUGUAGUC
RNAcentral lists this ribosomal RNA (450 nucleotides) under uncultured bacterium. RNAcentral's name for it is "partial 16S ribosomal RNA". It matches the Rfam family "Bacterial small subunit ribosomal RNA", at positions 338 to 795 of the family's 1533-position model. The record is from RNAcentral.